Molecule: unclassified non-coding RNA, 1696 nt
Filed under: Helicoverpa zea (corn earworm)
Lineage: Eukaryota; Metazoa; Arthropoda; Insecta; Lepidoptera; Noctuidae
Description: golgin subfamily A member 7, transcript variant X1
Source: RNAcentral
UGACGCACGUCAUAGUACUUUUAUCGAAAUAUCGCGAGAAAACAGAAUUCUCCUCGUAUUUCUAUCUGCAUAACUAUCAUGCUGAAACUAUGAUACAUUCAUAACACAAAGCAUUCCUUUUGACUUAUUUCUGUAUUGAUGGACUUUAAUUUGUGAGUUUGUAAUGAUGGCAAAUAAUCGUAUACCUUCAGGGCCCAAUACGCCUGGGAGUCAACAGACCCCAACACAGCAAGGAAUUAAGAUAUUUAUACAGAGGGACUAUUCUGAAGGGACUGCGGUGAAGUUCCAGACUCGUUUCCCGCCAGAACUGGAAGAUCGAAUAGACAGACAAACAUUCGAGUACACGAUGGAGCGUCUGAACGAGCACUUCGAGAUGGCAGAGACGGCCGACUGCAGCACUUACUGCGAGGGUUGUUUAGCCUGCCUCACUGCCUACUUCAUUUAUAUCUGUACGGAGACACAUUAUGAAAAGCACUUAAGAAAAGUAUCAAAAUUCAUAGCGACGCAAAACGAACGAGUUUACAACCCCCGCGGGAUUCACAUCACGGACCCCAUACUACGGGGUCUUCGAGUCAUAGAGAUCACGGUUAUUGACGUACCCAACUGUCAGAGUCCGACUGGCAACUCGAACAACCAAAUGAGGCAUACAUGACCACCACAGGAAAACCGGGAGUUCUUCAUGUAACCAAGCAGACUCUUCUUGAUGUAAGGAUUUGGCUCUUAUAGGACAAGCACUCCAAAAUGUACCUACUGGGCACAGUUUAACUACAUACGCAAUUUCAUGUAUAAAUGUCACCACAAUUCUUUCUGCCAUCAAACAAUGGUGAAGGAGGCAACCACUUACCUUGAGGUGAUAAUAAAAUAACCAUAGCUUGAAAAUGCAAUCUAUAUCAUGUUUUGCACCGUUUUGAAGUUGCCUACAAACCAUGAAAUUAAAUACAAUAGUAAAUAUGUUAUCAGAUGACGGUAAAAUCAGAUAAUAUAUUUUCUCAGGCUCUUGUGAAAGAUAAGUAAAAAUUUUCUUGUUUGCCGAUUCAUUCGUAUGAGUAACCAGUUAGAUAGUAAAACAUUUUUAAAUAAAAUAAUUAUGUAUAAUAGAGUAGGUUAUAAUGAGAGCUGAAUUCGUAUGUCACAAAGAAGAUUUUAUACAAAAGUUUUUAAAUAUAGACUGUCUUUUUCCAAUAAAAUUUUCUUUCGAGUCAUAGUAUAUUGUGUAAAUGUGUAGAUAGGACCACUGUGUGGUCUAAUAUUAUGAACGUAAUUUUUGUACCUAGCUUUGUUUUAGAACUUUCAUGAUCGUUUUUUAGGGGAAUUUGGUAAUAAUGGCAACUCUAAAAUUUUGUUUGAAGAACCAUAGAAGUAGUUUUCUUGACGUAAACUGGUUUAUAUGUAGUAUUGUCAUUAUCCCUAAAUUCCUUACACAUCACUAAAUAAAUCCAAUAAAUGAAGUAUUUCACGUCAAAGACUAAGAGUGACUCAAUUUUGAUCUUAUGACUGAAUUUAAUUUAUUUUUCGUUUAGCAUGACAGGACUCCUUUUGCCAAAAUUUCUUCCAAUUUGAAUGAAGAAUGUUGUAGAUAUAAAUGUAGUUAUUGUUGAAAUGAAAAUAUCGGACGUAGAUUGCGUAGCUUAUCAUUUUGCGUAAGGAAAUGUACUAGCAGUAAUGGUUUGAGUUAUUUUCUGUAGUAUUUUUAUCU